Balaenoptera acutorostrata (minke whale) is the source of this 438-nucleotide long non-coding RNA. RefSeq lists it as uncharacterized. The transcript is spliced from 4 exons. NCBI's taxonomy places the organism in Eukaryota, Metazoa, Chordata, Mammalia, Artiodactyla, Balaenopteridae. The record is from RefSeq and is a predicted model, not a curated record.
GCCCGUGACUCCUUCACUUACAGUCCUCAGGUCUCCACUCAACACUCACUCCCCUGGGAAGUCUGGAUGCCCCUCUCUCCAUCCCCAUCCCUACCUGCCACCGCAGUGAACGGCUGUCUCAUCAGGAGGCCAACUUCACGAGGCCACAGAUCUUUGCGCAUUCUGUUCAUCGCUCUAUCCCAGGAACCUAGAACAGUGCCUGGCACUGUUCCCCAAAUGCUUGAUGGAGAAACAGAGGCUCACAGAGGUUAAGUAAAUUGCUCAAGGACGCACAUCUGACAGCGGGAACCUGGGAGGAAGGUGCGAGGGCUGAGAAGCUGGUCUCCCGUGGAGGGUCACAGAUGGUGGUGGCCCCAGCUCAGCAGGGCCUCUUUCCCUCUUCUGUGACUUGGCAGGAGCAGGCCAGGACCCUGGGGUUCUGCAAGAUGUUAUCAUUGG